GGAAAAAAUGGUACCUAACCUAUACACUAUUUUUGUUUUUUGUGCGCCUCUCUCUCUCUCUCUUUUUUUCUGUCUCCGAAGUAGUAAUUGUCAUAAAAACAUGGGAUGAAGGACAUUUUAAGAGUCUUAAGUGUAUUGGAUUUGAUGAAAAUGCCCCUGUUUUUUUGUCACAAAGCACCACGGAAGAUGCCACCACCAGUCGGAGUGCCACGACUGGAAAGAGCAGGUCUCCUCUUCUUACGGAUCUCCAUAGAAGCAUCUUUUUUUCGUUGCUCUGAACCGUUUGAAAUCGGACGGCAGGUUUUCGAUGGUUGGUGGGAGUUGUGCAUAACUUCACAGCUGACUAUUUCUGAACCACUUCUGUAAGCGGAGGUGAUUUUAAAGCAGGUUUUUGGAUUGUCUAUACCAUCUGGUUAAAUAUUUCUUUGGCCUGGGAGUGAGAGUACCAGCAGUGGCUGGUUGUGUUUUAAUCCCAGAAGAUGCACCGUGUGUACACCAGGACCCAUCUGUUCUGUUCAAAGUGGUGGCAGUCUGAAUGUGUAUUGAAUGCCAGCUUACCCGAUGGUAUAGUUGGGCCUUGAUAAGGCUUCCAAUCCCUGCCACCCUUGUAGGGCUUUGUGGGUUCCUUAGGACAGAGAGAAGAGAGAUAAGUGGAGAAGAGGGUGUGUUUGUACCUGCUAUUUCUUCAGCAUGCUGUUCAGGUGGAACGUGAACCCCACAAAUUGAACUGUCUGGUGUCUCACGAGGGCUGGGUGAUGCUGUCUGCCGGCCAGUGUGCCCUGCUAUUGCAUACCUGUCUUAAUGAGGAAAGAAUGGGCAAAGGCACCUCCUUCACUUGAACUUCCAGAGGAGGCUUCAUAGCUAGGCUUAAUCCCAUUCCCCUCUGCUCUCCCUGACUGGGACGGUCUUCUCUUUUCCAUGGAUUCUCGUUUGCCUCCCUUUUUAUUUUAUUUUAUUUUUUUUUAGUUACUAUAACCUGAUGUGAGAAAUCAUGGUUCAUGAAGACAGUCCUAGCUGGCGCGAUUGUCUCUGGAGAAAACUACCCCUGGGUGUCCUGUGCUGCUGCUGCUGCUGCUUAUUAUUAUUAUUAUUGUAUCCCUCCAUUUUUUAGGUUAGUUUCCUGGAAUUGAGGUCUGGGCUUCAGCUUUUGUCCACCCGGGAAGUUACCCAGUGAAGUUAUUUGAGCAGUUAUUCUCAUGAAGCCAAGGAAGGGCCAAAUCCUGAGUGGUGGGAGAUAAAUUCUUCAACUCCCCUUGGUUCCACUGGGUGCUUGGUCCUGGGCUGCUAUCACCUGAGAAAUAACGUACCUGAGGCCCAAGUCUGCCCUUUUAUCCAACGCUUACUCCAUGAAAAGCAGGGCAGGAAGACAAAGAGAGCCCAAUUGCAAUUGGCUACAGGGAAGGGUUCAUGAUAAAAGGGGGUCCCUUUGCCCAGCCUCCUUCCCACCAUCCAGCUCUCUCUUAGCGAGUGAUUGUUUUAGUUUUUAAGAACGCACAGCAGAAACUCCUGUGCCUUUUCCAAGCACUGCCCGAAGCACCGUCUGCCACGUGGGAGCCCGGUACUUUGCCAAGAGAUAAGUGUUCCUUAAAUGACAACGCAUUGAAUUGAGCUCUUUAACCCCGCACCGGCUAGACCCCUUCUCCAUGGGGCCCAGUUGCUCCGUUCCAUCUUCCUGGUCAAGGUAGACCGAUGAAAAGUCCCUCUUCAAGGGUCUUCUGUCCAGCGCUGGUCAAGGGGUGGAUGCUAGGCUCAAUGCACUGCCAACACCCAGAAGAACUAACCCCCACUGCCCAUCUGAAUACCAAAUCCCACACGAAGCACCUACCCCUUCCAUUCGGAUGAACCCAUCUGCUUCCUUCAUUUCUGUUGUGCUUCAUCUGAAUUUCUUAUCAUUUGGAGGGGCGGGAGGGGGAAAAUAGUCGUUUCUUGGGUUUAUACAACCUAUCUGACAGGAAACGUGCAAAGCUUUUUGCUUCAUUUUGUUCUGUUCUAAAGGUUGCAUU
Molecule: long non-coding RNA, 2003 nt
Organism: Gavialis gangeticus (Gharial)
Lineage: Eukaryota; Metazoa; Chordata; Crocodylia; Gavialidae
Exons: 2
Source: RefSeq, a predicted model, not a curated record